Molecule: ribosomal RNA, 374 nt
Filed under: uncultured eukaryote
Lineage: Eukaryota
Description: partial 18S ribosomal RNA
Rfam family: Eukaryotic small subunit ribosomal RNA
Source: RNAcentral
CAAUAGCGUAUAUUUAAGUUGUUGCAGUUAAAAAGCUCGUAGUUGGAUUUCGGUUAAGAGCGACCGGUCCGCCGUUUGGUGUGCACUGGUUGGUUUUAACUUCCUGUAGAGGACGUGCUCUGGGUUUAACGACCUGGACUCGGAGUCUACGUGGUUACUUUGAAAAAAUUAGAGUGUUCAAAGCGGGCUUACGCUUGAAUAUUUCAGCAUGGAAUAACACUAUAGGACUCCUGUCCUAUUUCGUUGGUCUCGGGACGGGAGUAAUGAUUAAGAGGAACAGUUGGGGGCACUCGUAUUUCAUUGUCAGAGGUGAAAUUCUUGGAUUUAUGAAAGACGAACUUCUGCGAAAGCAUUUGCCAAGGAUGUUUUCAUUA